This is a long non-coding RNA of Arabidopsis lyrata subsp. lyrata, 139 nucleotides long. RefSeq lists it as uncharacterized. The record is from RefSeq and is a predicted model, not a curated record. NCBI's taxonomy places the organism in Eukaryota, Viridiplantae, Streptophyta, Magnoliopsida, Brassicales, Brassicaceae. The transcript is spliced from 2 exons.
CUCAAUUUGAUUUCUUUAGACAGGUCAAGCAAAAAUUGUAUAGAAGGAUGCAGUUUCUAUAUGAUUUUGCAAAGAUGAAUGAACAGUGUAAAAGAAUGGAUAAUGGUGAUUUAGAUCCACCAAAGUAAAAAAAAAAAAA